GCGGCGCAGUCAGGAGAGAGCUUCCCCGGAAGCCGCCGAAGGCGCAGAGCGGAACCCCGCUCGAACGCUCAGGCAAAAGGACUGACGCUCGUCC
This 94-nucleotide non-coding RNA is filed under the name Caldimonas brevitalea. Its description in RNAcentral is "Polyangium brachysporum Glycine sequence". It matches the Rfam family "Glycine riboswitch aptamer". Rfam says of the family: This family represents the bacterial glycine riboswitch. Glycine riboswitches usually consist of two metabolite-binding aptamers domains with similar structures in tandem. The record is from Rfam by way of RNAcentral. Lineage: Bacteria; Pseudomonadati; Pseudomonadota; Betaproteobacteria; Burkholderiales; Sphaerotilaceae.